UCCCUGGUGGUCUAGUGGCUAGGAUUCGGCGCUUUCACCGCCGCAGCUCGGGUUCGAUUCCUGGUGAGGGAA
Molecule: transfer RNA, 72 nt
Filed under: Pan paniscus (pygmy chimpanzee)
Lineage: Eukaryota; Metazoa; Chordata; Mammalia; Primates; Hominidae
Also listed under: 1 other name
Rfam family: tRNA
About the family: Transfer RNA (tRNA) molecules are approximately 80 nucleotides in length.
Source: Rfam by way of RNAcentral